UCGGUUUUGGCACUGAAGUACUCCUUCUCGCGUAAGCUCAAAUGCCUUGGUCGCACCACUCUGAACGUUCUCCUUAAGCUGUAAUAAAAUAGGAUCUUCAUAUUGCUUCUCUUUCACUUCAGCUAUUAAUGAAGAUACCGCAACAUUAUGUACGAUAAGCUCUUUAUUCGGAGUUUCAAGAAGGCGAACUCCCAAACUAGCUAACUGGUGAAGAUCUUUAACCAUCCCUUGCCUUUCUAUAGGCGCCAUCAUAGCCUUACGACUUAACGCAUCAGCUACCACAUUUGCUUUCCCUGGAUGGUACAAGAUAUCAACA
RNAcentral lists this long non-coding RNA (316 nucleotides) under Capsicum annuum. Its description in RNAcentral is "long non-coding RNA (CANN_LNC021414)". Lineage: Eukaryota; Viridiplantae; Streptophyta; Magnoliopsida; Solanales; Solanaceae. The record is from RNAcentral.